UGGGGAAUAUUGCACAAUGGGCGAAAGCCUGAUGCAGCAACGCCGCGUGAGUGAUGAAGGUCUUCGGAUUGUAAAGCUCUGUCUUUUGGGACGAUAAUGACGGUACCAAAGGAGGAAGCCACGGCUAACUACGUGCCAGCAGCCGCGGUAAUACGUAGGUGGCGAGCGUUGUCCGGAUUUACUGGGCGUAAAGGGUGCGUAGGCGGAUGUUUAAGUGAGAUGUGAAAUACCCGGGCUUAACUUGGGUGCUGCAUUUCAAACUGGAUAUCUAGAGUGCAGGAGAGGAGAAUGGAAUUCCUAGUGUAGCGGUGAAAUGCGUANAGAUUAGGAAGAACACCAGUGGCGAAGGCGAUUCUCUGGACUGUAACUGACGCUGAGGCACGAAAGCGUGGGUAGCAAACAGGAUUAGAUACCCUGGUAGUCCACGC
RNAcentral lists this ribosomal RNA (428 nucleotides) under uncultured bacterium. Its description in RNAcentral is "partial 16S ribosomal RNA". It matches the Rfam family "Bacterial small subunit ribosomal RNA", at positions 355 to 800 of the family's 1533-position model. The record is from RNAcentral.